CCUACGGGUGGCAGCAGUGGGGAAUAUUGCACAAUGGGGGAAACCCUGAUGCAGCGACGCCGCGUGAGCGAUGAAGUAUUUCGGGAUGUAAAGCUCUAUCAGCAGGGAAGAAGAUGACGGGACCUGACGAAGAAGCCCCGGCUAACUACGUGCCAGCAGCCGCGGUAAGACGUAGGGGGCAAGCGUUAUCCGGAUUAACUGGGUGUAAAGGGAGCGUAGACGGCGCUGCAAGCCAGUUGUGAAAGCCCGGGGCUCAACCCCGGGACUGCAUUUGGGACGGUGUGGCUGGAGUGUCGGAGAGGCAGGCGGAAUUCCUAGUGUAGCGGUGAAAUGCGUAGAUAUUAGGAGGAACACCAGUGGCGAAGGCGGCCUGCUGGACGAUGACUGACGUUGAGGCUCGAAAGCGUGGGGAGCAAACAGGAUUAGAUACCCUGGUAGUC
RNAcentral lists this ribosomal RNA (440 nucleotides) under uncultured bacterium. RNAcentral's name for it is "partial 16S ribosomal RNA". It matches the Rfam family "Bacterial small subunit ribosomal RNA", at positions 338 to 795 of the family's 1533-position model. The record is from RNAcentral.